UUUUAUUUUUCAAUAUUUGAGGAAUGUGUAAACUAAUGUGACCCAUGUGAAGGAAUAAAUAUGAGGAAUUCGAAAUAAUUGCAUGUUCUCUUCAUGAAUGUAUGAUAAACAACAUUUUCAUUCUUCAUCACAUAUUAGUUCUGUUGUUGUGAAUGUGAUAUAGAGCUAGUAAGAGGGUAGGACAUGCAAUUUUGGUCGUGGAACAAGCAUAUAAACUGACUGUCGAACCCCUCUCUCUCUCAGCUCCACCGUCAUCUUCUUUCCUUUUCAUCUUUGGUCUGCUGCCGACUCAGGUGUUUGUGAUUUUUAGGAAACUAGAUAUGGAUGCAACAAAGGAGGAUCAACUCAUUCGUCAACAAUCAUACCCAUGGCUUCUUAUUCAUGACAAGAAAAAUGGGAAAAUGGCAAUAUUUUUUAGCAUAUCAAGAAAUAGAUAUUACAGGAAAAUAAUUCCAGAAAUGGAAAAUAAAACAAUUUGCACUUGCUCUUAUGGAUGGCUAGUACUUCAAGAUAAUACUUCAAAAGGCUGUUGUCUUUUUAAUCCCAUCACAACACAGAAGGUUGAGCUUCCUCCAUCAGAGUACCGCUGCAACGACUGCUUCAUAUAUUCAUCACCAAGUGACUACUCUAAUUGCUAUGUUUUAUUCAUCUAUAGCAAGAACAACACCAUAUACUUUUGCCAACCUGGUGAUGACAAAUUUCUCAAACAAGAGCUCCAAAUCGAUUUAUAUUAUCUCACAAUGUUUGAAGGUAAAUUGUAUUAUUUACAAGACCCCAAUCUUUAGUUAUUAUUACUUUUUCUAAGAAUUCCGGACUUGAGGUUACACCAUUAACAAGUGAGGAGCUCCAAAUCAUCCAUACGUAAAUGUGUUAUGGGAGUAUUUGAUCGAGAACUCUGGUGAACUUUUAUUAGUACGUAAAUUGGUCAUUGGAUAUGAAGUGCAUGAUUUCGAGAUUUUUAGGUUUGAUUUUUCAGAGAAUAAGUGGGUGGAAGUUUCUGGUGCAGGGCAAUGGAAUUGGGAGUUGAACAAAAUUCCAUCUAUUUUAUCCAGCGCAGUGAGAGAUUUUUUCGUAUUUUCAACUCAAAAGAUAGGAGCUUUUCAAUGGCUUUUCCUCGUCCUACUAAUUGCUUUUUCACACUUUCAUUGGAUUAUGAUAUCAUAAACAAUAUAUUUUAUUUUAUCGACUUUUAUUUUUAAUAUAAUUUGUCAAAGCAAUAGCUUAUGAUAAUAUUGUUUAUGUGGAAUCAAUACCAAUUAAAGCAAUAGCUUAUAAUAAUAUUGUUUCAUAUUUUGGAUAUGUUAAUUUUAUUGCAUAUAUAUGUUGCAAUGGAAAGCAUAUAUCUAUGUUUAUGAAUGACCUGUGCAAGAGCUACAAAUUAUCAUAUUCUAAUUGUCAAUCACUCAACCAGAAACAAGUAUACAGAGAAAC
This 1431-nucleotide unclassified non-coding RNA is filed under the name Hevea brasiliensis (rubber tree). Lineage: Eukaryota; Viridiplantae; Streptophyta; Magnoliopsida; Malpighiales; Euphorbiaceae. The record is from RNAcentral.